Molecule: long non-coding RNA, 288 nt
Filed under: Cyanistes caeruleus (blue tit)
Lineage: Eukaryota; Metazoa; Chordata; Aves; Passeriformes; Paridae
Description: lncRNA (ENSCCEG00000005742.1)
Source: RNAcentral
UUCAGAGGCAUCACUCAGUGUUGCAGAGGCAAACUGAAAAAGCAAACAUUGAUUACCAAGGUUUUAUUGCAAUCAACAAACUCCAUUGUUGCCAGAGAAGCUCGGGAGAUGCAGCUUAUCUAAAAUCCAGAGUUAUCUGCGUGUCACACGAGGCCUUUCUGAAGCAAAUACACAGAUUGUGUUUCUAAGCCAAAGGAGCUCAUGCUUGCUGGAGCAGACUCUUGGAAGUGAUGUUGGCUGCUUAGAGGUCUCCUUGCUGAUUUUCAGGCUGGAAAUUUAAGAGGAAAG